CAAAAUGUAGCUUAAACAAAGCAUCUCGCUUACACCGAGAAAAUGCCUGAUAGCCCCAGGCCAUUUUGAG
Molecule: transfer RNA, 70 nt
Filed under: Boana pellucens
Lineage: Eukaryota; Metazoa; Chordata; Amphibia; Anura; Hylidae
Description: tRNA-Val
Rfam family: tRNA
About the family: Transfer RNA (tRNA) molecules are approximately 80 nucleotides in length. Their secondary structure includes four short double-helical elements and three loops (D, anti-codon, and T loops). Further hydrogen bonds mediate the characteristic L-shaped molecular structure. tRNAs have two regions of fundamental functional importance: the anti-codon, which is responsible for specific mRNA codon recognition, and the 3' end, to which the tRNAs corresponding amino acid is attached (by aminoacyl-tRNA synthetases). tRNAs cope with the degeneracy of the genetic code in two manners: having more than one tRNA (with a specific anti-codon) for a particular amino acid; and 'wobble' base-pairing, i.e. permitting non-standard base-pairing at the 3rd anti-codon position.
Source: RNAcentral